GUACCCUCAAGCUCUGCUUGGUGUUGGGUGUUUGUCCCGCCUUUUGCGUGUGGACUCGCCUUAAAGCGAUUGGCAGCCGGCAUAUUGGCCUUGGAGCGCAGCACAUUUUGCGCUUCUAGUCACUUAUUGUCAGCAUCCAUCAAGUACAAUUCUAAC
RNAcentral lists this unclassified non-coding RNA (156 nucleotides) under uncultured Pyrenochaetopsis. RNAcentral's name for it is "sequence contains ITS2". Lineage: Eukaryota; Fungi; Ascomycota; Dothideomycetes; Pleosporales; Cucurbitariaceae. The record is from RNAcentral.